This is a long non-coding RNA of Perca flavescens (yellow perch), 237 nucleotides long. RefSeq lists it as uncharacterized. The record is from RefSeq and is a predicted model, not a curated record. Lineage: Eukaryota; Metazoa; Chordata; Actinopteri; Perciformes; Percidae. The transcript has 3 exons.
CCUAACGUUCGCCAUCGUAAGCCUAAGAAGCAAUUUAUUGAGCCUGUGAAGCCAUACACGACCGGUCUCCCGCCCAAAAGUAGCACCCCUUCCUUUGUUCCGGUCUCGUCUUACCCGACCACUGUAUCUUAUGAUAGUAACACAGCAGCUGAGCAACUAAAGGCGACGGAAGACUUAGUUACAUUGUAUUUGACGCCUGAGGACGAUUUCACACAGUCACCCCCAUGGAGCAGAUCG